Molecule: ribosomal RNA, 279 nt
Filed under: uncultured bacterium
Lineage: Bacteria
Description: partial 16S ribosomal RNA
Rfam family: Bacterial small subunit ribosomal RNA
Source: RNAcentral
UGCCAGCCGCCGCGGUAAGACGGAGGAUGCAAGCGUUAUCCGGAUUUAUUGGGUUUAAAGGGUUCGUAGGCGGAAAAGUAAGUCAGUGGUGAAAGCCAGCAGCUCAACUGUAGAACUGCCAUUGAAACUAUUUUUCUUGAAUGUAUAUGAAGUAGGCGGAAUGCGUCAUGUAGCGGUGAAAUGCACAGAUAUGACGCAGAACACCGAUAGCGAAGGCAGCUUACUAAUGUACUAUUGACGCUGAUGAACGAAAGCGUGGGGAGCGAACAGGAUUAGAUA